GAUGAACGCUGGCGGUGUGCCUAAUACAUGCAAGUCGAGCGGGAGAAUCAUCCUUCGGGAUGAGGAUCCAGCGGCGAACGGGUGAGUAACACGUGGGCAACCUGCCCGCAAGACCGGGAUAACUCCGGGAAACCGGGGCUAAUACCGGAUAGUCCUUUUCUCCGCAUGGGGAAAAGGGGAAAGGCGGCUUCGGCUGUCACUUGCGGAUGGGCCCGCGGCGCAUUAGCUGGUUGGUGAGGUAACGGCUCACCAAGGCGACGAUGCGUAGCCGACCUGAGAGGGUGAUCGGCCACACUGGGACUGAGACACGGCCCAGACUCCUACGGGAGGCUG
Molecule: ribosomal RNA, 333 nt
Filed under: uncultured Bacillota bacterium
Lineage: Bacteria; Bacillati; Bacillota
Description: bacterial SSU rRNA
Rfam family: Bacterial small subunit ribosomal RNA
Source: RNAcentral